Long non-coding RNA from Leopardus geoffroyi (Geoffroy's cat), 1327 nucleotides. RefSeq lists it as uncharacterized. The record is from RefSeq and is a predicted model, not a curated record. The transcript has 3 exons. NCBI's taxonomy places the organism in Eukaryota, Metazoa, Chordata, Mammalia, Carnivora, Felidae.
AGAGUGUAACUUAGUGCAAGUGAGAACAUUCACGUGGGCCUGCCCCAGCUGCUGUGGUUGCACGGAGCUCCCCGACACUAGAGUUAUUCCAACCCAACUCCAUCACCCCUCCUUGAAUAGGUUUUGGGAAAGAUGCACCAUUGCCCAGAGAAUUGGAUCAGAUGAUAUGCCACGGCUCUUCCAAACUUAAGAAUCCGAACUCCUUUUGUCUAGCCAAGAAUUUGGAUGAAUCUGUCCUCUGCUCACUAGCCACAUGACCUUGGACAUGUUUAUUAGCUUUCCGAGCCUUCAUUUUUUCAGCUGUAAAAUGAGGUUAUUAUCUCAAAAAAUUGUUAUAAGCAUCAACAGAGAUAAGGAAUGAUUCCUGGUGAAAUCAUAAACGUCUUCUCCUGUCUCUGUACCUUACCCAGUUCUGGGGUGACCAGGUGAGUGCCUGGAGUGGCUGUCCCAUGGGUCAGAGCAAAGGUCACAUGUGCUUGAGGAAUCAGCACUAAAUCAAAUUUCACUAGCCAUCCUCCCUCCAGGGUGUUCCCUUUGGCUCUUUUUGUCUUCCCUAUCUCCUGUCUUUAAUCUCCCCUUCUUCCUUUCCCUUGUGUUCACUCAGCUAGCACUUUCUGAGAGGUCCUCUGUCCCAGAUACCCUGCUGGCUGGGGCAGCGCAUGAAUCACAUGCAGUUGAGAAUGUGAGCAGUGUCUUGCCUGGUGCUGACAGAGAACGGAAGAGGAGGGCCAUGCUCUAAGGGAGGCCUGUGCUGUGGGCUUACAGAGGGGCGGUCCUUUGGCGGGGGCAAGGCUAGAGGAGUGGUGGCCAGACAGGGGAAGUUUACACUAGGAAUAAGAUGUUUGAGCCUGUCUUUGAAGAACAGAUAAUGACUUUCUACACAGAGAAGAUGAGGGAGACCCACCCUGCGCCCGCAGCUUUUCUGUCACCGUCUUGGAGUCUAAGGAUCUGAGCGUAUCCCUUUCCCCAGUGAGGCUACUCUUUGAAGGAAGUUACCAGGAGGCUGCCAUCCCCACAACAUUUUGAUCCUAAAAUAUUGGAGCUAAAUCCGUCCUUUGAGAUCAGCUGACUCGAUGAUUACCAGACUCUGUGCACAGCCGAAUCAUCAGGUUGGUCUGUUUAUCAUAUAGAUUCUCACGUAUUGCUGAUGCACUGGGUCUGGGAGUGGAGAGGGCGGGGACCCCAAAUCCUACUGAGAAGCAACAAGGAGGGGACCUGUGAGGAGGGUGUGGACAAAGUGGAUGGAAGGCCGCCCACACAGUCGUGCCCCGGCAGGGAGUUGUUAGAGGCAAGGGCGGCAUCCCAGGUAGAAUCAGACAGUUGGCAU